This 472-nucleotide ribosomal RNA is filed under the name uncultured bacterium. RNAcentral describes it as "bacterial SSU rRNA". It matches the Rfam family "Bacterial small subunit ribosomal RNA", at positions 355 to 825 of the family's 1533-position model. The record is from RNAcentral.
UGGGGAAUAUUGGACAAUGGGCGCAAGCCUGAUCCAGCGACGCCGCGUGUGUGAAGAAGGCCUGCGGGUUGUAAAGCACUUUCGAUGGGAACGAAAUGUGCCGGGUUAAUACCCCGGUAAGCUGACGUUACUCAAUGAAGAAGCACCGGCUAACUCUGUGCCAGCAGCCGCGGUAAUACAGAGGGUGCGAGCGUUAAUCGGAAUUACUGGGCGUAAAGCGCACGUAGGUGGCGACGUAAGUCGGGUGUGAAAGCCCCGGGCUCAACCUGGGAAUUGCAUUCGAGACUGCAUUGCUAGAGUACGGAAGAGGAGGGCGGAAUUCCCGGUGUAGCGGUGAAAUGCGUAGAUAUCGGAAGGAACAUCAGUUGCGAAGGCGGCUCUCUGGACUCAAACUGACGCUGAGGCACGAAAGCGUGGGUAGCGAACAGGAUUAGAUACCCCCGUAGUCCCUGAGCGGGCUGGCAAGGCGCAU